UCGCGACUGAUUGAGUGACAGAAACGCCAGCAGCCUGCAGCAGAGCUCUCAUCUCUCCUCUGCGGUCACUUCACGUCGUGCUGCUGGACGCUGUAUUGACAAGGCGCUCUGAUCAGCUGGGUCGAUACCAACUAAAUCGCGAGGAAAUAAAAGCGCAGGUUGUUCCGUCGCGGUCGGUUAGUUGCCGACCGGAGCGCUUCAUUUUUAUGGGUCCCAGCGAGUGUUGAAAGCAUCACAGUUGGAGUUCAUUAAAACGCAGCAGCAUUGGACUCAUCCUGGCGGGUCAGAGAUCAGGGUUGGAUUCUGAACCGGGAGCUGAAAAGAACGCAGUGCUGUGCACAAGGACCCUUCAGCAGGGCAGAACGGAGAGGCUUGAGCUGGGGCCCUCCAGCUGAAAGACAGACUCUUUAAGCGCCACACAGAUCUGCUUCCUGCAUCAAGCACACUGUGCACAAACAUACCCGUUUUCAUGACAACAUCUCCUGGGAAAUGGUUUGUCCAAAGUUGCCUCUGGUUGUUUUUUUCUAAAACUCAUAAUAACUCUAUCACUGUCAGGAGUCAAGAAAGUCGUUUUCCGGUGGCGACAAGAGUUUUGACGUUAUGAAUCAGUUUAACGUACAGAAAAUAUUGAUUAUGAAAACUCUGACAGGUUUUGACAUCCAGUCGAAAUUUCUCUUCUGCCUGACGGGGCACAUCAGUCGAGGAGUAGAGAAACAGAAUGACCAUAGCUGCAGGGUUCACUUGUUUUGAUCAAGCACCUUAGAGAGGCCAACACUCAGAUUAAGAUAUGCCGAUAUCUUGUCAGAUGUCCGCUACCCUCCGCCAGUGGGCAGACACAAUACAGCUGCCUCUUGUUCAUUUCAAGGUCAAAGGUGAAAAGGCACAUUAUAAUGUCAAGUGUUUUGUCUUGAGCUGGUUUGGAGCUUGGUUCUGGUGUGGUUUGGGCUCAGAUUUUGUAAAAAUCUGUUGUUUUUCCACAAAAAACACAUCUUCAGAUUCACUUGACUUUCAGUACUUGCUAAAAUAUGCUGCAGAAAAUUUGCAAAAUUAUUUUUUCAGAAUUGAUUAAUUUGUUUUUAAUUAAAAGUUAAAAUGUUUUAUCCUAUUGCAAGCUACAUAUCUGUGGGUUUUUGGAGCGCCAGGUCGGACAAAACCCGCCAUUUUAAAUACGUCAUCUUGGGCAUUGAGGAAUUGUGUUAUUUCAUAGACUAAAUGUUCAAUCAGAUAAUCAAGUAAUCAAGAAAAUAGAUUGCAAAUGAAUUCAUAAUGAAAAUAACUGUUAGUUUCUGCCCUGUUGUAUUUUUAUUGUACCACAAAAGUGUGAAGCUUCAACAGGUCUCACUUUGAUUGAAAAAAAAAAAAGACUUAAACCGGCCUUUGCUGUUAUUGUCUGGCGUCUAAGGGGUUAAGGUCUUCACAGAUUCUCUGG
Molecule: long non-coding RNA, 1429 nt
Organism: Micropterus dolomieu (smallmouth bass)
Lineage: Eukaryota; Metazoa; Chordata; Actinopteri; Centrarchiformes; Centrarchidae
Exons: 3
Source: RefSeq, a predicted model, not a curated record